ACACUCCUGCGGGAGGCAGCAGUGGGGAAUAUUGCACAAUGGGCGCAAGCCUGAUGCAGCCAUGCCGCGUGUAUGAAGAAGGCCUUCGGGUUGUAAAGUACUUUCAGCGGGGAGGAAGGCAAUACGGUUAAUAACCGUGUUGAUUGACGUUACCCGCAGAAGAAGCACCGGCUAACUCCGUGCCAGCAGCCGCGGUAAUACGGAGGGUGCAAGCGUUAAUCGGAAUUACUGGGCGUAAAGCGCACGCAGGCGGUCUGUCAAGUCGGAUGUGAAAUCCCCGGGCUCAACCUGGGAACUGCAUUCGAAACUGGCAGGCUUGAGUCUUGUAGAGGGGGGUAGAAUUCCAGGUGUAGCGGUGAAAUGCGUAGAGAUCUGGAGGAAUACCGGUGGCGAAGGCGGCCCCCUGGACAAAGACUGACGCUCAGGUGCGAAAGCGUGGGGAGCAAACAGGAUUAGAAACCCGGGUAGUCCCAU
RNAcentral lists this ribosomal RNA (474 nucleotides) under uncultured organism. RNAcentral describes it as "partial 16S ribosomal RNA". It matches the Rfam family "Bacterial small subunit ribosomal RNA", at positions 333 to 798 of the family's 1533-position model. The record is from RNAcentral.